CCAACCAAAACGCAUCAAACAUACACAUACUACCCACAUUGCUCAUAAACACAACAUAAACCAAAAACUCAACAUAAACCUAAUCAUGCAUUUCUACCCCAUAAAUCUUCAUAAAACAUGUUUAAAACAUGCAAGGAAGGUCGGAUCUAAGCUUACCUCUUGAAGAUCGAGAGGAAAGACGAUCCAACUCGGAGAUGGGGGAGAUCUCGCUCCUUGGGUCUCCAAGCUUCAAAACUUGCUCUUUUGCUCAAAUAUCUUCAAACCAAGUGAAAACUCAUAAGAAAAUCA
This 288-nucleotide long non-coding RNA is filed under the name Manihot esculenta (cassava). RNAcentral describes it as "long non-coding RNA (MESC_LNC012975)". Lineage: Eukaryota; Viridiplantae; Streptophyta; Magnoliopsida; Malpighiales; Euphorbiaceae. The record is from RNAcentral.